Molecule: ribosomal RNA, 253 nt
Filed under: uncultured bacterium
Lineage: Bacteria
Description: partial 16S ribosomal RNA
Rfam family: Bacterial small subunit ribosomal RNA
Source: RNAcentral
UACGUAGGGUGCAAGCGUUGUCCGGAAUUAUUGGGCGUAAAGAGCUCGUAGGCGGUUUGUCGCGUCUGCUGUGAAAACUCGGGGCUCAACUCCGAGCUUGCAGUGGGUACGGGCAGACUAGAGUGCGGUAGGGGAGACUGGAAUUCCUGGUGUAGCGGUGGAAUGCGCAGAUAUCAGGAGGAACACCGAUGGCGAAGGCAGGUCUCUGGGCCGCAACUGACGCUGAGGAGCGAAAGCAUGGGGAGCGAACAGG